Molecule: non-coding RNA, 766 nt
Organism: Zootermopsis nevadensis
Lineage: Eukaryota; Metazoa; Arthropoda; Insecta; Blattodea; Termopsidae
Source: RefSeq, a predicted model, not a curated record
AGAGAUUUCCCAGCGAGCGUUGUUGUAAUUUUCAGAUAAAUACAGCAGAAACUGAGCAUUUCUAAACGCAAAAGCUCAGCGAACGACGUCAGUUCCAUCACAGAUCCGAGGAUGAAGUUGCUGGCCGUUGUUGUGGUGGUCGCUCUCAGGUUACAGUCGAUCGUGGUUCAGGCAGACGAGGAAGUUAAACAGAAGUUCCAGGACGACAUCAUGCCGAUCUCCAAGGAGUGCAUCGCUCUGCAUGAACUGAAGGAAGAGGACAUCAAAGCCUUGAAAGGCUUCGAAAUUCCACCCAAUCAGGAAGCAAAGUGUUUCGCUGGUUGCGUGUACGCAAAACUCGGUAUGAUAAAUGGAAAUGAGUUCGAACCCACGCAAUUCAAGGCAAGAGUACGGGAGUGGUUACAGAAGUACCCGGAGAAAUACCAGAAGGUCGAGGCAAUGCUGGACACGUGCAAAACCAAGGUUAAGGAAGCCAACCCCAACGGAGGUGACGAGUGUCAUCUGUUGCCGAGUAUCAUGGAGUGUUUCCAUUCCCAUCAAGAGGAGACGGACAGCUUCAGGAAAUUCCUAGCGUCCGUGUAUGGAUCCUGAGCGUGAAACAAGCGGACGGACACGAUUGAUGAGUGACACAACCACCAAGACAUGGAUAAUGCACCAUUUAAUCGUAAUGAAUCGUAAUCCCGAUAUGUGGGAACAAAUUUCUUAUGUACAGGUAAAUUCUUCGGAAUAAAUAAAAAUCAAAGAAACUUUAUCCUUACGAAAACAA